Molecule: ribosomal RNA, 610 nt
Filed under: Saccharomyces cerevisiae (brewer's yeast)
Lineage: Eukaryota; Fungi; Ascomycota; Saccharomycetes; Saccharomycetales; Saccharomycetaceae
Description: eukaryotic LSU rRNA
Rfam family: Eukaryotic large subunit ribosomal RNA
Source: RNAcentral
UGCAUAUCCAAAAAGCGGAGGAAAAGAAACCAACCGGGAUUGCCUUAGUAACGGCGAGUGAAGCGGCAAAAGCUCAAAUUUGAAAUCUGGUACCUUCGGUGCCCGAGUUGUAAUUUGGAGAGGGCAACUUUGGGGCCGUUCCUUGUCUAUGUUCCUUGGAACAGGACGUCAUAGAGGGUGAGAAUCCCGUGUGGCGAGGAGUGCGGUUCUUUGUAAAGUGCCUUCGAAGAGUCGAGUUGUUUGGGAAUGCAGCUCUAAGUGGGUGGUAAAUUCCAUCUAAAGCUAAAUAUUGGCGAGAGACCGAUAGCGAACAAGUACAGUGAUGGAAAGAUGAAAAGAACUUUGAAAAGAGAGUGAAAAAGUACGUGAAAUUGUUGAAAGGGAAGGGCAUUUGAUCAGACAUGGUGUUUUGUGCCCUCUGCUCCUUGUGGGUAGGGGAAUCUCGCAUUUCACUGGGCCAGCAUCAGUUUUGGUGGCAGGAUAAAUCCAUAGGAAUGUAGCUUGCCUCGGUAAGUAUUAUAGCCUGUGGGAAUACUGCCAGCUGGGACUGAGGACUGCGACGUAAGUCAAGGAUGCUGGCAUAAUGGUUAUAUGCCGCCCGUCUUGAACC